AUGGCUGAAGUUUUGGUGUUAAAAUUUGGCCUAUCGCUUGCGCAAAGGACGGGUUGUAAUCGCAUAAUUAUUAACUCAGAUAAUAUGGAGGUGAUCGAGACCAUGAACGAAGGAGGACGAUCGUCGGGGGCAGCAGCUGCAAUUUUUGAUGACUGUUUUCACUUAGCUUGCGAUUUUCCUAUUUCUAGAUUCGAGCAUUGUAAUAGAGAAGCAAAUAAAGUUGCUCAUGAACUUGCCAAGUUGGCUAGAUUUUCCUUCAUUUCAGAUUGGCUCGAGGAACCACAUAAUGCAAUUGUACCAAUCCUCAUAAACGAUGUAAUGAUUAUUUCUAAUGAAUAA
This 339-nucleotide ribosomal RNA is filed under the name Triticum aestivum (bread wheat). Its description in RNAcentral is "partial small subunit ribosomal RNA". Lineage: Eukaryota; Viridiplantae; Streptophyta; Magnoliopsida; Poales; Poaceae. The record is from RNAcentral.